GUUCAGCCGCCGCUGCUGGCGCGCACUGUACAGCGGCAUCAGCCGCUUGUAGGACAUGUCCAGCAGCUGGUCCAGGUCCACGCCACGGAAGUGCAACUGGACAGCACUGACCCAGAGACAGGGGUUAAAAUGGACCUUCCUUCCUAUCAAGCCAUGGACUAAUGAUUAAGGAGUGGGACCAUUUAUCAGACCUGUCUAGUCUAUGAAUUCCACCCCAAGGGCCACAGUUGUGCACGGGCAUUGAGCCAAUCCCUGGACUUCUGCUGGCACGUGGGAGGAAGGACUCUCUCUUUCCAUGAGGAUUGCUGAGAGGAAGCCUAGGGCUGCCAGCAAUCAUCCUGCCACCGCACGGGAGGUGCACACCUGAAUGAAGGUAACAGCCGCAGAGAGCAAAGCCCACAUGGAGGAGCCAGGACAGGAUGGGGACAACAAGGCUUGAGCCCCUAGAUCCGGGCAUGCCUGGCCUUUUAGUUGCUCGUCUGAUCUCUAUUGGAUACCUCCCUCUGGAGGAAGCCAACUGCUUUGCUGGAAGCAGCCCUGGGGAGAUGCCAUGGAGUAAGAAACUGAAGCUUCCAACCAACAGCUGUCAGGGAACUGAAGUCUCUUUCCAAGAGCCAUAUGAAUUAGCUUAGACAUGGAUCUUCCAUCCUAGCCAGCCCUUGGAAGACCAGCCCCCAGCCUACAUCCUGAAUGCAACCUCACUAGAGACCCUGAGCCAGAACAACCCAGUCAGGCUACUCCUGGGUUCUUGAGUCCAGGAACUACAUGAGAUAAUAAAUGUUUGUUGUUUUAAGCCUAUGGUCCCCAAUCUUUUUGGCACUAGAGACUGGUUUCACGGAAGACAAUCUGUCCAAGGACAGGGGUAUGGGGAGGUAGCCCGGGAUGGUAGCGGGGCAGGGCGAAGGAUGAAAUUGUUCCACCUCAAAUCAUCAGGCAUUACUUAGAUUCUCAUAAGGGGCACACAACCUAGAUUCCUUGUAUGCAUAGUUCACAAUAAGGUUUGCACUCCUGUAAGAAUCAAAUGAUGCUGCUGGCUGAUCUGAGGUAGAGCUCAGGUGGUAAUGCUUGCUCACUCACCCGCUACUUACCUCCUGCUGUGCAGCCUGGUUCCUAACAGACCAGAGACCAGUAUGGUAUUUGAUCUGUGGCCUGUGGGUUGGGGACCCCUGUUUUAGCUAUUAAGUUUAGGGGUAAUUUGUUCCACAACAGCAGAUAACUAAUAUACUCAUCUAGAUUAUUGUGAAGCACAUCCCAGAUAUCAUAUUAUUUCAUCUGUAAACAUUUUAAAAACAAACCACGUUUCACUUUGUCACAGUUACACAGUUUGAAUGAGGAUUCAUGUUAAGAUCUACUCAUUGUGAUUGAUUGAGAUAUCUCUUAAGUCUCUUAUUCUAGAGUUCCCUCUCCAUUAUUUUUCUCACAAGUUUUGUUGAAGAAAUAACUUGUUGGUCAUGAAGAGCAUUCCAGAAUCCAGAUUUUACUAACUGUAUUUCUGAGGUGUCAUUUAACAUGUUCUUCUGUCCCUCUAUUUUAAUUGAUGGUGAGAUUGAGCAGUUUGAUUGGAUUCAGAUUUGACUACAUAUUUAUUUAUUUAUUUGGUAUUUACUUAUUUAUUUGCUAUUCAUUCGUGAUGUUUUUUUACUUCCCUCCAACAAAUGAGUAGUAGUCUCCUUGCGAUGAUGGUAGUCAUCAACGACCAAUGCCCAGAUUCAUUAAUUCAUCAGAAGCUGCAACAUAGUGAUAUUUUAAUUUCAUCAUCUC
RNAcentral lists this long non-coding RNA (1761 nucleotides) under Homo sapiens (human). RNAcentral describes it as "HSALNT0311887". The record is from RNAcentral. Lineage: Eukaryota; Metazoa; Chordata; Mammalia; Primates; Hominidae.